RNAcentral lists this RNase P RNA (405 nucleotides) under Mycobacterium sp. RNAcentral describes it as "RNase P RNA component class A". It matches the Rfam family "Bacterial RNase P class A". Rfam says of the family: Ribonuclease P (RNase P) is a ubiquitous endoribonuclease, found in archaea, bacteria and eukarya as well as chloroplasts and mitochondria. Its best characterised activity is the generation of mature 5'-ends of tRNAs by cleaving the 5'-leader elements of precursor-tRNAs. The record is from RNAcentral. Lineage: Bacteria; Bacillati; Actinomycetota; Actinomycetes; Mycobacteriales; Mycobacteriaceae.
CGAGUUGGCUGGGCGGCCGCGGCGCGCUGGUCCGAGAGGUCCAGUGGCGUCGAGGAAAGUCCGGACUUCACAGAGCAGGGUGAUUGCUAACAGCAAUCCGAGGUGACUCGCGGGAAAGUGCCACAGAAAACAGACCGCCACCCUCGUGGUGGUAAGGGUGAAACGGUGCGGUAAGAGCGCACCAGCAUUCCGGGUGACCGGAAUGGCUUGGUAAACCCCACCCGAAGCAAGGCCAAGAAGACCGCAUUACGGUGCGGUCGCGCAGGCGUUAGAGGGUUGCUCGCCCGAGCCUGCGGGUAGGCCGCUUGAGGCACCCGGCGACGGUGUGUCCAGAUGGAUGGUCGCCGCCAUACCGCCAGGCAUGGUGGUGUGGAACAGAAUCCGGCUUACAGGCCAACUCGCCCG